This 460-nucleotide ribosomal RNA is filed under the name uncultured bacterium. Its description in RNAcentral is "partial 16S ribosomal RNA". It matches the Rfam family "Bacterial small subunit ribosomal RNA", at positions 338 to 795 of the family's 1533-position model. The record is from RNAcentral.
CCUACGUGAGACAGCAGUGAGGAAUAUUGGUCAAUGGGCGCGAGCCUGAACCAGCCAAGUAGCGUGAAGGAUGACUGCCCUACGGGUUGUAAACUUCUUUUAUAAAGGAAUAAAGUGAGGCACGUGUGCCUUUUUGUAUGUACUUUAUGAAUAAGGAUCGGCUAACUCCGUGCCAGCAGCCGCGGUAAUACGGAGGAUCCGAGCGUUAUCCGGAUUUAUUGGGUUUAAAGGGAGCGUAGAUGGGUUGUUAAGUCAGUUGUGAAAGUUUGCGGCUCAACCGUAAAAUUGCAAUUGAUACUGGCAGUCUUGAGUACAGUUGAGGUAGGCGGAAUUCGUGGUGUAGCGGUGAAAUGCUUAGAUAUCACGAAGAACUCCGAUUGCGAAGGCAGCUUACUAAACUGCCACUGACAUUGAUGCUCGAAAGUGUGGGUAUCAAACAGGAUUAGAUACCCUAGUAGUC